RNAcentral lists this long non-coding RNA (288 nucleotides) under Phoenix dactylifera (date palm). RNAcentral describes it as "long non-coding RNA (PDAC_LNC002814)". The record is from RNAcentral. Lineage: Eukaryota; Viridiplantae; Streptophyta; Magnoliopsida; Arecales; Arecaceae.
GAUCGGAAAGAAUAAGUCUUCCAUGUUCAAGAUAACUUCUAGAUUAUUUUUUUUUUUGUUGGUUUGAUGGAAAGCUAACCUUUAGAGUUGGUGAGAACAAAUGUGACGGAUGAAAGCAUAUUUACACCUGUUGAUGAUACUAAGCAUGAAAUCGAAUCUGUCCAGCACUAGCUUAGUAUUCUUGCACUAUGCCUCGCACUAGGACAGUAUAUUUCAUGGGGAAAACUACUUGAGACAUUUACAACUACAGAUUGGUUGGAUACGCAGUCAUUUCAGAAGGUUAUCCAA